This is a long non-coding RNA of Dermacentor albipictus, 282 nucleotides long. RefSeq lists it as uncharacterized. The record is from RefSeq and is a predicted model, not a curated record. Lineage: Eukaryota; Metazoa; Arthropoda; Arachnida; Ixodida; Ixodidae.
AGUGUCUGCAUGCGCGGCGGCUUCCCCGCCCAACUCAACGAGUCUUCCAUUUCCUCCGGCGAACCCGCCCGGGGACGAUCGGCUGGCGUGCGGGACCCGCAUACCGCGGCUGGCGUCCGUCUGUCGGAGGAGAUCGGAAUGUGGGCAGGAAUUACCGCUCUUGCGAGGAAGCGAGCAGUGCUCCAAAGGAACGCGUAGGAUAAUCCGUGGCUGUGCCCCCGGUGAAGGUCGCACGGCUUCUUCCCCCGCCAGUGGCAAACAUUACCUUCGUUUAUUUCUUUA